UUGUAGUGAUUAUCAAAGGAAUUAUGUCAAUCAAGAACGAGUUCCUACAUUAAGGUAUAAAGUAAUGAUCUUUAUAAAUAUUUUUUAUAAUUCUUCAAUUAGUUUAGUUGCGCAAAAUUAAUAAGUUUGUCUUGUAAGUAUUACAGAGAGUUUGGAGUCCUAUGUGUGCCAUUAGUGCAUCAUUGCCAUCUACUAUGAUGGGUCUGUCUCUAUUGGUUGGUCAAAAUAAGUGGUAGGUGAUUGUAUGAUUUAGUUAUAUGAAAAUUGGAUCAAUGCAAAUAGUUAAUUUUAAAUAUCUUCGCAGGUUGACUAUCCCUCAUAAUCAAAGUAAAGGUUCAUCAUCUAGUGUUCGUGAAUGGACCAAUUAGGAAAUGAGAACUGCAAUUGAUAAUGAUGACGUAAUUGGAAGUGAUGAGGAGUAUGUUAUUGAAAGUGAUGAAGAGGAUCAAAAGCGAAUUGAUGCUGAUUCUAGUGAUGAUGAGGAAUCCUUUAUUCCGUAUUCGUUGGAUUCUGAUCAUGAUGGUGGUUUGAAUACACUUGCAUGCACUAUUCGAGAUGAAGGUGUUGAAUGGAUCGAAAAUUCAAAUGUCAACAAUGAUGAUGUAUCGGACCCGGUGGAAUUCGAGGAAUUUGAAGAU
Molecule: long non-coding RNA, 638 nt
Filed under: Ananas comosus (pineapple)
Lineage: Eukaryota; Viridiplantae; Streptophyta; Magnoliopsida; Poales; Bromeliaceae
Description: long non-coding RNA (ACOM_LNC023401)
Source: RNAcentral